RNAcentral lists this long non-coding RNA (231 nucleotides) under Dasypus novemcinctus (nine-banded armadillo). Its description in RNAcentral is "lncRNA (ENSDNOG00000052100.1)". The record is from RNAcentral. Lineage: Eukaryota; Metazoa; Chordata; Mammalia; Cingulata; Dasypodidae.
GUCGCCGCCUGGGCGAGCUGAGGCCUGUCGGGGGUUCACCGGACGCAGCAGGCGGGCCGGGCUCCAGAGCGGUUAGCGCCGUGCCUGGGCCGCCAUCGGGGCCGGGGAGUGUUGGUCCUUCCUCCUGGUGGUGUUGGAACCGAAGUCUCAACCCAGCCGGUGCUAUUCAUCAUUCCUCCUAAAUGAAGCGAAGGAUGUCUGCCUGAGUUGUCCUUCCCUCAGUCCCCUGGC